Molecule: transfer RNA, 71 nt
Organism: Ipomoea nil (Japanese morning glory)
Lineage: Eukaryota; Viridiplantae; Streptophyta; Magnoliopsida; Solanales; Convolvulaceae
Rfam family: tRNA
About the family: Transfer RNA (tRNA) molecules are approximately 80 nucleotides in length. Their secondary structure includes four short double-helical elements and three loops (D, anti-codon, and T loops).
Source: Rfam
GCGCAUUUAGUGUAGUGGUAUAAUAGUACCAUCCCACGGUACUGACCGGGGUUUAAUUCCCUGAAUGCGCA